This 72-nucleotide transfer RNA is filed under the name Mus musculus (house mouse). It matches the Rfam family "tRNA". Rfam says of the family: Transfer RNA (tRNA) molecules are approximately 80 nucleotides in length. Their secondary structure includes four short double-helical elements and three loops (D, anti-codon, and T loops). The record is from Rfam by way of RNAcentral. Lineage: Eukaryota; Metazoa; Chordata; Mammalia; Rodentia; Muridae.
GUAGAGAUGGCUCAGUAGUCUAGAGCACUACUGCUUUUGCUGAGGACCUGGGUUCGAUUCCCAGCCCUUGCG